GAUGAACGCUGGCGGCGUACCUAAUACAUGCAAGUAGAACGCUGAAGGAGGAGCUUGCUCUUCUGGAUGAGUUGCGAACGGGUGAGUAACGCGUAGGUAACCUGCCUGGUAGCGGGGGAUAACUAUUGGAAACGAUAGCUAAUACCGCAUGACAACAGUUAUUGCAUGAUAACUGUUUAAAAGGGGCAACUGCUCCACUACCAGAUGGACCUGCGUUGUAUUAGCUAGUUGGUGAGGUAACGGCUCACCAAGGCGACGAUACAUAGCCGACCUGAGAGGGUGAUCGGCCACACUGGGACUGAGACACGGCCCAGACUCCUACGGGAGGCAGCAGUAGGGAAUCUUCGGCAAUGGACGGAAGUCUGACCGAGCAACGCCGCGUGAGUGAAGAAGGUUUUCGGAUCGUAAAGCUCUGUUGUAAGAGAAGAACGAGUGUGAGAGUGGAAAGUUCACACUGUGACGGUAUCUUACCAGAAAGGGACGGCUAACUACGUG
RNAcentral lists this ribosomal RNA (495 nucleotides) under uncultured bacterium. RNAcentral describes it as "partial 16S ribosomal RNA". It matches the Rfam family "Bacterial small subunit ribosomal RNA", at positions 28 to 507 of the family's 1533-position model. The record is from RNAcentral.